This 197-nucleotide ribosomal RNA is filed under the name uncultured beta proteobacterium. RNAcentral's name for it is "partial 16S ribosomal RNA". It matches the Rfam family "Bacterial small subunit ribosomal RNA", at positions 335 to 524 of the family's 1533-position model. Lineage: Bacteria; Pseudomonadati; Pseudomonadota; Betaproteobacteria. The record is from RNAcentral.
ACUCCUACGGGAGGCAGCAGUGGGGAAUUUUGGACAAUGGGGGCAACCCUGAUCCAGCCAUGCCGCGUGCAGGAUGAAGGCCUUCGGGUUGUAAACUGCUUUUGUACGGAACGAAAAGACUCUGGUUAAUACCUGGGGUUCAUGACGGUACCGUAAGAAUAAGCACCGGCUAACUACGUGCCAGCAGCCGCGGUAAU